AUACGGAGGGUGCAAGCGUUAAUCGGAAUUACUGGGCGUAAAGCGCACGCAGGCGGUCAAUUAAGUCAGAUGUGAAAGCCCCGAGCUUAACUUGGGAAUUGCAUCUGAAACUGGUUGGCUAGAGUCUUGUAGAGGGGGGUAGAAUUCCACGUGUAGCGGUGAAAUGCGUAGAGAUGUGGAGGAAUACCGGUGGCGAAGGCGGCCCCCUGGACAAAGACUGACGCUCAGGUGCGAAAGCGUGGGGAGCAAACAGGAUUAGAUACCCUGGUAGUCCACGCUGUAAACGAUGUCGAUUUAGAGGUUGUGGUCUUGAACUGUGGCUUCUGGAGCUAACGCGUUAAAUCGACCGCCUGGGGAGUACGGCCGCAAGGUUAAAACUCAAAUGAAUUGGCGGGG
RNAcentral lists this ribosomal RNA (396 nucleotides) under uncultured bacterium. Its description in RNAcentral is "partial 16S ribosomal RNA". It matches the Rfam family "Bacterial small subunit ribosomal RNA", at positions 523 to 918 of the family's 1533-position model. The record is from RNAcentral.